Non-coding RNA from Diceros bicornis minor, 82 nucleotides. Lineage: Eukaryota; Metazoa; Chordata; Mammalia; Perissodactyla; Rhinocerotidae. The record is from the annotation of a RefSeq genome assembly.
GCUAGUGUGGCCGAGUGGUCCAAGGUGCUGGAUUUAGGCUCCAGUCCCUCUGGGGAUGUGGGAUCGAAUCCCACCACUGCCA